CAGGUUGUAGUGGGUGUAAUGUACCUACUAGCCUACGACGGGUACGGGUUGUGGAAGCAAGAGCCCGGAGAUGGAUUCUGAGACAUGAAUCCAGGCCCUACGGGGCGCAGCAGGCGCGAAAACUUUACAAUGCGGGAAACCGUGAUAAGGGAACACUGAGUGCUAGCAUUUAUGUUAGCUGUCCACAUGUGUAAAUAGCAUGUGAUAGCAAGGGCUGGGCAAGACCGGUGCCAGCCGCCGCGGUAACACCGGCAGCCCGAGUGGUGAUCACUAUUAUUGGGUCUAAAGGGUCCGUAGCCGGUUUAAUCAGUCUUCUGGGAAAUCUAAUCGCUUAACUAUUAGGCUUCCAGGGGAUACUGUUAGACUUGGGACCGGGAGAGGUAAGAGGUACUGCA
RNAcentral lists this ribosomal RNA (395 nucleotides) under uncultured archaeon. Its description in RNAcentral is "bacterial SSU rRNA". It matches the Rfam family "Archaeal small subunit ribosomal RNA", at positions 226 to 622 of the family's 1478-position model. The record is from RNAcentral.